AUUUAAAUAGCUUAUAAAGAGUAUAACAUUGAAGCUGUUAAGGAGAUAAUUUUAUCUUUAAAUA
This 64-nucleotide transfer RNA is filed under the name Protochauliodes sp. RNAcentral's name for it is "tRNA-Phe". The record is from RNAcentral. Lineage: Eukaryota; Metazoa; Arthropoda; Insecta; Megaloptera; Corydalidae.